Molecule: long non-coding RNA, 1507 nt
Filed under: Anser brachyrhynchus (Pink-footed goose)
Lineage: Eukaryota; Metazoa; Chordata; Aves; Anseriformes; Anatidae
Description: lncRNA (ENSABRG00000018995.1)
Source: RNAcentral
AGCUGACUCUGAUGGGCUUCACCAUCCCAGAACAUACAAUCCGUGACUAAAUGGAGGGCAUCACCUGUGCUCUAAAGGCCAGACUGGCACCUGCUAACAAGGUCUGCAAGGUAAAACAUUGUCCCCCUCCAGAAUCCAGACUUUGAUCUCAUCUUUUAGCAGCAUCUUAGACCAGUGUGUUUAUGUGGGUGUUCAGGCCUCCAAAGCCUUCACAAACAGCAACGGGCAGGAAGCUUUCUUAUGAAAAAGAAAAGGAAAAAAUGCCAGUUUUCACUGGGUGAAACGACUAUUUUCUGCAUACUAGUUUGAGACUGAGCCAAAGCUGUGAAAGCGGACUAUGAUUUUUGACCCUUCUCAUAACUACUUUCCCUCAUCUGUAGAGGUGAGUAAAAUCAUGCUAAGUACACUGCACUUCUAGGCUCUGAUGAGGAGAGUCAAACAAAACCUGUAUAUAGAAGUUUUAAUGCUGAUAUGGCUAAGAUUAACCUCGGAUUGAGCCUGAGGUUUGUAGUUGAGAUCAGCUACAGCUGCAACACCUGGACCAGAGUUUCACUGGAGUCAGGGGAUCAGAUUGCUUUGGCUUGGACCCCUACUCUACUGUGGACACUUUUUCAUUAGGCUAAUCCAUGGUCCCCCAGAUUGGCCCCAACAUCACCCCAAUUUUGUGCCAUGGUUGAUGAGGUGGUGUUGCAGAGCUGGAAAAUACCCUCAGAUCUCAAAAGAAAGAUGCAAAGUCCUGUAACCAAGUUAUGCUUAUUCCUACAUGCUCACACUCAUGGCAUAUCAGGAACUCAGGGCAGCCAAUUUUUCAAGCAGUGCUAAAACAUGUAUUUCACAUUGGUGAAAGGGAGGGACACCGAGCACUUAACCCUGCUCUUAGCCCUUCCCCCAGUUUUCUCUUUCUUGAGCCUGAAUUCAACUGGAAGCAUUAUUUUUAGAGCUGUUGAAUUUAACCCCAAACUCACCCACCCUUCCAGAAUCCUACUGUUGUGCCACAGUAAUGAUGUAAUACACAGUCAUCCCAUAACCAGGACUUGUACAGCACAAAGCCCAUUUGCACCCAUCAGAGUCUGCAAGGCAGCAUCAACCGAUGACUUAUCUUCUGGAGCACUGAAGGAAUUGAGUUCUGCCGAAGAAAUUAUUUAUGAAGAUUUUCCAAGUUGCUCAGAGCUUCAGAUGGAGGAGGUUGAAUAUGACUUCUUUAAUAAAACAGGCUGGGAUGUCAUGAAUGAGUUAAAAGGUCACAGGAAGGAAAUGUUGGCUGCUGCUGUGAAGUUUGAAGGGUGUCAUGUAACCAGUCUCUCUUGCAUUAUCACAUGGAACACAUAAUUCCCAGGUUGCUUUGUGUCGUUUGAAGAUUUUUUUUUUUUGCAGAGGACUUUGUUUUGCAUUCUUUUCCAACCACUUUUAUUUCAGCAACUACUGUUGUGGUAGCUAUGAAGUUUACAAGAACCAAUACUUUGGAAAAAAAAAUAAAAAAUUGUAGCGUAUGAAGUAUAAUACUGAG